Molecule: ribosomal RNA, 467 nt
Filed under: uncultured bacterium
Lineage: Bacteria
Description: partial 16S ribosomal RNA
Rfam family: Bacterial small subunit ribosomal RNA
Source: RNAcentral
GACGAACGCUGGCGGCGUGCUUAACACAUGCAAGUCGAACGGAAAGGCCCUGCUUUUGUGGGGUGCUCGAGUGGCGAACGGGUGAGUAACACGUGAGUAACCUGCCCUUGACUUUGGGAUAACUUCAGGAAACUGGGGCUAAUACCGGAUAGGAGCUCCUGCUGCAUGGUGGGGGUUGGAAAGUUUCGGCGGUUGGGGAUGGACUCGCGGCUUAUCAGCUUGUUGGUGGGGUAGUGGCUUACCAAGGCUUUGACGGGUAGCCGGGCUGAGAGGGUGACCGGCCACAUGGGGGAUGGGGUACGGCCCAGGCGCCGACGGGGGGCAGGAGUGGGGAAGAUUGCAGAAUGGGCGGAAGGCUGAUGCAGGAACGCCGGGGGGGGGAUGGGGGCCUUCGGGUUGUAAACCGCUUUCGCCUGUGACGAAGGGUGGGUGGGGGUAAUGGGGAAAGAAGCACGGGGGAGCUACGG